UACAGAGGUGGCAAGCGUUGUUCGGAAUUACUGGGCGUAAAGGGCGCGUAGGCGGUCUUUUAAGUCUUGUGUGAAAUCCCUCAGCUCAACUGAGGAACUGCACGGGAUACUGGAAGACUUGAGUUCGGGAGAGGGAAGUGGAAUUCCGGGUGUAGUGGUGGAAUACGUAGAUAUCCGGAGGAACACCAGCGGCGAAGGCGGCUUUCUGGUCUGAUACUGACGCUGAGGCGCGAAGGCGUGGGGAGCGAUCCGG
RNAcentral lists this ribosomal RNA (253 nucleotides) under uncultured bacterium. RNAcentral's name for it is "partial 16S ribosomal RNA". It matches the Rfam family "Bacterial small subunit ribosomal RNA", at positions 524 to 776 of the family's 1533-position model. The record is from RNAcentral.